GAAAAAAAGGUUCUUUGGGGUUCUAUAUAGAACCCUAGGGUUCUUUAACCAACUUUAUAGAACCCUUUCUGCCAAAAAGGUUCUAUAUAAGGAGAAAGAACCAAAGGGUUCUUUGGGCUAAAUGUGCUUUAUAUACAUUAUUAGUGCUUUAUUUAAAUUAUUACACUAUUGAACAUUAUAUUUGUGUUUUUACUUCAAUUUUACUUAGGCACACCUUUCAUUCUGAAGAAAACAAACUUAUAUACAUUUUCAAGUUUAAUAGGUUUAUUAGAAAAUAAUAAUUGCCGCAUUAUCCUGUAAUGAAAAAAAAAAUCUAAUUGUUUCUGGAUCUAGGCGCUAGGGGCAGAAUUCUGCCAUCUGCUGGUUAAAGAAAAUCCUGUAGGAAUGACUUAUAUUCUGAAAGUCAAUUCUUAUAACUCAACCCUCCAAACAGAUGCAUUAAAUGAUCUUCGACAUAAACAGCGAAUAACUUGCAUGUGUAUGCGCUGAUCAGUUCUGUACUGUCUGCACGCGCAGUGUCGGAUUUCAGCCGCGCGAGUCGUGCGCGAGUAAUUAGAAUGCGCGUGAACGCAGCAUUUUAAACUUCAACCGUUACGGACGUCCGUUUGAGCUCAGCGUUCGAGAGGACGACGAUUAAAUUGAAUCAAAAAGAAGAAAUGUGGUUUACGGUGCUGUCCGGGCCUGCGCUAUUCUCCGCCAUGAGAAAACGCACAAGAAAACGAUGUUUCAGGAGCAGUCAAAUCACGUGAUCACUGUACACCCAGACUGUUAUAAACAUGAAUUCAAGAGAAACCACGAAGAACAAAGAGAGGAGGUGAUGAAGAUGCUUCUUCUGUGGAUAUAGCUGGAUGGACUCUGGAGUGCAGCAUUACUUCAAUAAGAUGAAAAUAACACACCUGUAUGAUUCAAGAUGUCAAGCCCCCUGAACGCAAAGAGAGUCUGCAUCAAAAUGGACGUGAACCUGACUGAAAACACAGAGAUGUCAAAAGUAUCUGUUGGCUGUCUACUUUUUGUUCAAUAUGGAGCAUCCAAAUGCCAGUUUCUUUCAUUCAGCACUAUUUAGCCCUUCUCAGUACUGAAUUUGCCGCCAUGGGUCAUUUGUUUUUAUUGUUUAAAUGCUUAUCUGAAUGUUAAAUUAUAAUUUAAUGCUCAUGAAUUAAAAAAAAAAAAAAAAAUUCUACUAGC
This is a long non-coding RNA of Megalobrama amblycephala (Wuchang bream), 1185 nucleotides long. RefSeq lists it as uncharacterized. NCBI's taxonomy places the organism in Eukaryota, Metazoa, Chordata, Actinopteri, Cypriniformes, Xenocyprididae. The transcript has 5 exons. The record is from RefSeq and is a predicted model, not a curated record.